AACGAACGCUGGCGGCAUGCCUAACACAUGCAAGUCGAACGAGACCUUCGGGUCUAGUGGCGCACGGGUGCGUAACGCGUGGGAACCUGCCCUUAGGUUCGGAAUAACUCCCCGAAAGGGGUGCUAAUACCGGAUAAUGUCUUCGGACCAAAGAUUUAUCGCCUUUGGAUGGGCCCGCGUUGGAUUAGCUAGUUGGUAGGGUAAAAGCCUACCAAGGCGACGAUCCAUAGCUGGUCUGAGAGGAUGAUCAGCCACACUGGGACUGAGACACGGCCCAGACUCCGACGGGAGGCAGCAGUGGGGAAUAUUGGACAAUGGGCGAAAGCCUGAUACAGCAAUGCCGCGUGAGUGAUGAAGGCCUUAGGGUUGUAAAGCUCUUUUACCCGGGAUGAUAAUGACAGUACCGGGAGAAUAAGCUCCGGCUAACUCCGUG
RNAcentral lists this ribosomal RNA (433 nucleotides) under uncultured bacterium. Its description in RNAcentral is "partial 16S ribosomal RNA". It matches the Rfam family "Bacterial small subunit ribosomal RNA", at positions 29 to 507 of the family's 1533-position model. The record is from RNAcentral.